CAUUGAACCGAAGUGGUUACGGCUGUUGGUUUAAGCUGUGCGGUAGCGUUGCCAGCCCCUUAA
This 63-nucleotide small RNA is filed under the name Vibrio cholerae O1 biovar El Tor str. N16961. Lineage: Bacteria; Pseudomonadati; Pseudomonadota; Gammaproteobacteria; Vibrionales; Vibrionaceae. The record is from RNAcentral.